Molecule: unclassified non-coding RNA, 299 nt
Organism: Cebus imitator (Panamanian white-faced capuchin)
Lineage: Eukaryota; Metazoa; Chordata; Mammalia; Primates; Cebidae
Rfam family: Metazoan signal recognition particle RNA
About the family: The signal recognition particle (SRP) is a universally conserved ribonucleoprotein. It is involved in the co-translational targeting of proteins to membranes.
Source: Ensembl
GCCAGGCACAGUGGGGUGUGCCUGCAGUCCCAGCUACUCCGGAGGCUGAGGUGGGAGGAUCGCUUGAGCCCAGGAGUUCUGGGCUGUAGUGUGCUAUGCCAAUCAGGUGUCCGCAAUAAGUUCAGCAUCAAUAUGGUGACCUCCCAGGAGCGGGGGAUCACCAGGUUGCCUAUGGAAGGGUGAACCGGCCCAGGUCAGAAACAGAGCAGGUCAAAACUCCCAUGCUGAUCAGUAGUGGGAUCACACCUGUGAAUAGCCACUGCACUCCAGCCUGGGCAGCAUGGCAAGACCCCAUCUCU